Molecule: long non-coding RNA, 87 nt
Organism: Telopea speciosissima
Lineage: Eukaryota; Viridiplantae; Streptophyta; Magnoliopsida; Proteales; Proteaceae
Exons: 3
Source: RefSeq, a predicted model, not a curated record
AUUAAGGCAAGGAGGAGAAAACAGAUCUGCGGAGAAGUUUCAAGUCUUCUUUCUUUGCUGAACCAAAGAUCUGGUGAGUUAUCCAGA